UGGGGAAUAUUGGACAAUGGGCGAAAGCCUGAUCCAGCCAUGCCGCGUGUGUGAAGAAGGUCUUCGGAUUGUAAAGCACUUUAAGUUGGGAGGAAGGGCAUUAACCUAAUACGUUAGUGUUUUGACGUUACCGACAGAAUAAGCACCGGCUAACUCUGUGCCAGCAGCCGCGGUAAUACAGAGGGUGCAAGCGUUAAUCGGAAUUACUGGGCGUAAAGCGCGCGUAGGUGGUUUGUUAAGUUGGAUGUGAAAUCCCCGGGCUCAACCUGGGAACUGCAUUCAAAACUGACUGACUAGAGUAUGGUAGAGGGUGGUGGAAUUUCCUGUGUAGCGGUGUAAUGCGUAGAUAUAGGAAGGAACACCAGUGGCGAAGGCGACCACCUGGACUAAUACUGACACUGAGGUGCGAAAGCGUGGGGAGCAAACA
RNAcentral lists this ribosomal RNA (427 nucleotides) under uncultured bacterium. RNAcentral describes it as "partial 16S ribosomal RNA". It matches the Rfam family "Bacterial small subunit ribosomal RNA", at positions 355 to 774 of the family's 1533-position model. The record is from RNAcentral.